GAAAAAAUAUUCCAAUUAUUGAUAUUUAUAUGGAAGAGGGUUGAAGUCGUUCGUGUUUGGAAUCAGUCAGAAUUAUCGACGGUGGGAUGUUACGAAUGUCCAUUGCUGACACGAUCAUCAUGAUAGUGGAUGAACAGUGGAGCGAUGGUGCGCUAGGAAGAGAAUUAAUUGGAGAAAUGGUCGUCACGUUCUCACGUUCCACAUUAUCCAUGUUGUACGUUAUUAACGCGAAUUUCGCGUUCGUCAGCGGUUAAAGCUUCGACUAGAACACAAAUAUCGUCGCAAUAGUAUGCAAUAUGAAUCAGCGACAUGCUUGGUUAUAAAAAAGUAUGCUUCUAUCGUACGGGAAAUGGUAGCGAAAGCUAUGUUAUACGUUCUUGAUCUUUUUGUUAGGGGCGAAGCUUUGUAUAUUUUUGUCUCAAGCGUGGAUCUCAUCGGUUCGAAAUCGGCUUUGUCAGCCGAUUAACAUUUCCACUUUGGUAUUCGUUGAGAUCUCGUUAAUGUUUCAAGCCAGCCUCGUUUAUCUUUGGACAAGUGACAAGUGUUUUCGCUCGGGGCAAAUUUACAAUAGGCGCGAGUGCUGGAUCCGACCCGGCAUAAAAGUCUUCAACUACCGGUAUGGCUUGAUGAUCUCGUUGAAAUUUAAAUAGAUCAUCAGACGUUCAUCUUGCGUUUCGUAACGUGAUUGGGCUUUCCUAUCUUCCUACUACACAAUCGUGUUUCUACUUCCAAUCAUUUUAAAUUCUUUGAACAGAGCUUGUUGAAAAUGAAGUUCUAUCCGAUCUAUUCAAAUAAAAGGAGAAUAAAAUAGAGAAACAAGGUGAACAAAAUCGACGAGUCUACUAAGUUUGAUAUAUUGACAUGUUACUCGUACGAUACUGUGAUAUACAUAUAUAUGUAUAUAGAUUGACGUAGAGAUAAUCGAUAGAACAAUUUAUGCAAAUAUAAGAAGCAUAAAAUCGGCAUGGAAAUCGAUGUAACACGGAUAGCGAUACUCCGAUCGUUCUAAGCGCUGUAUCUUAAAUCAUAGUUAUUUUGAAACACGAAACAUUUGUCCAGCUCUAGCUAUUCAUGCUUCUAAUCCUUCUGUUUAUCGCACAUUAAUGAUUCUGUCAGUAAGGCGUAAUGAUGAGGCGACUGUUUAGAUUGACAUCGCCGCUGGCCUUCUCACCUUGACUGGCUGUUGCACGCUUUCGCAAUUUAAGCCGGUCAACGUAUCGUAUCGCGUGUUACAGUGUUACAACGUCCGAUUUCUACUGUUUCGCUGUUUUCAUUGCUCGAUAUCGAUUCGCGAUUAUCAGCGCCGUAUGAAUUCUCCGAUCGAGACAUAUUAUGAUCGCUUCUACCAGCGUACGUGCGAUUUCGAUGGCCUUGAAGUUUCAGUUGUACGACAUGGCUGCGUGGACCGCAUAUAGUUGAAACGGUAUCGAUAUUAUUAGAUCGCUGCUCGACACGUUUCGACAACGAUCGUUGUUACGAAAAUUUGUCAAUGGUUUGCGUCACGUGUCAAAUGUGUUCGCUGUUUCGCAGUUUGUUUCGUUUGGCAGUACUGUGCGUUUGUGGGUUUCUUUUAAGUUGCGUAAUGGCGGGCGUGAAUUAUCGUUCGUCUAACGAGCCAAAUACAAAGAGCCGAUUGUUCCAACGUUUAACCCUCGGCUGGUUGGGUCGUUUCAGACUACGAUGCUCAACGAAAUAAAGGAUACGAACAAGGAUAUAAAAGGAACGCAUUAAUAAUAAAAUUCGCAAGAUAUGUCUGCAGUAUACAUUUACAAUGUAUCAUUCCAUUCUCAUGGAAUCAUUAAAAAGGUUAACAGAAAUAUUCAAACGAGUCUGAUAAAUAAAUCUGAAAAAGGUCUCGGGGCAAACUUCGAUUCUCUUCGUGCGUACGCGAUCUACAAACCAUAAUAUCUUCCGCGAUAGAAAAGGGAGAAAAGGAAAGGAAACAGGAGGAAAUAAAAGGAAAAGAAUUUGAAGAACAGAGCGAGCUUACGACAUUCGUCGGGUUGUCGAACGUGCGGUGGCUACUGGAGAAAACGCUGUUCCGGCGUCUUUGUCCCGAUCGGCACGUCGCUUUAUCGUGGCACGUGAGCCUCGUGCCAAAAUCACCAGGCACUGGCGACAAAUCGGUAUCGUGGAUUUAUUCUCGGCGUCUUUGCCGCGGUGCAGUGUCGAGAAACGAUACAGCAAAGUGGAAGCGAAUUGUCUUCUGCGAGAGCUUUUGACCGAGAGACCAGGCCAGGAAAGCUGCGAUAUGUUUUCACGGAGUGGCUGCAUCUUCGAAGGCGUUCUGUUCCUUCGACGUAACGGGUCUGGACACGAACUCUCGAGAAGGUGUCUGUAUCGGGAAAAGGAACGAUUGGCGCGCUGACUCGUGCUCUUUCUUCUUCCGAACCCUUCGCGUGCGAGCUUUUCUCUUAAGCUCGUUAUCCACAAGCGUAUAUGUACAAGCUACCGCCGAAUAAGGGUUUGCGUUGUUUUUGGCCAGCUUUCAUAAUCACUUCGAAUUAGAGAAUUUUUCUAUUAGAAUUACACGUUUAGAAUUAUUAUUUUUAAUUAGAAUCUAAUACCGCCAUUUUUUUAUAUUACAAAUGAGUGGAAUCUAUGUAGAAACCGAAGGAAUAUCUAUCUACGAAUUACGAUCGUAGAUAGAUCGUUUUAUUUCGCUCCGCGUUAAUUAUAAAUCUUGUUAUACGAUGACUUUAUAUACCAGUCGCUCCAUUCAAGUUUUUCCACCAUUCACUUAUAAUAAUUGUUAUUUCACAAUACUAUCAGUUAAGUUAUAAACGAGGUUAUGGUACGCGAGGUCAUUCUUUCGUAACUCUUAUCAGACAUCCGCCAUUCAAGUGUCAAUUACCGUUAUGGGAACCCAGAAUUAGAAAUCGGAUGAAAAUAACUGUGUUAUAAACAAUAUGAAAUAGCGAGUUGAAACGAAUCUCUAGAUUUUAUCUCUUUACGUUCGUACAAUAUGAAUUUGUAUUAACUUUUUCUGCUAACAAGCGGUAAUGCAUUUUUUGUAUAUGUUAUGUAAUGUGUCGUGCAUUGCUGGAAAGAAAACUAGCUGUCCGACACAGGGGCAAGGACGGUACUUUGUAUUGUUUACCGUCACACGUUGUUGUAUCUAUUGUCUUGUUCGUAUACGUGACGUUUUCGGCCAAUACACGGAUUCUGAAUUACAUUGAGCCUACAUGAAAUAAGCAAUCAGAUAUGCAUUCCUUACGUUAGUCUUCUUUCCAGCAACACACACUACACACUAUGCUAUACUAUUGUUUUACAAUCAACAUGCCUGACGUGUGCUAUGAGCGAGCACGUAGCGAUAUAUUGAUCGUCAAGGCAAAAUCAGAAAGGAAUUUUCCUCAUCUAUAGAUGAACGUAUGUAUGUAUUACGAUAUUGUGGGUCAGUUUUUACAACGAUAGUUCUUAUUUCGUUAUGAACGGGACGACUCGGUAGACACGAGGAAGACAAGGUUCGUUUCGUAUAGACGAGAAGUUUGCGCGUUAUUAGAGUAUCGCGGAGGAUUUUCCGUCGUCGACAAUUAUGCUAUGCAAUUAUACAACACGGAAUGAAAUUAUACGCUAAUGACGUUGCAACAUGCUCAUCGUGAUAAUGGAUAGGAAACUUGUUUCCCUUCUCCGCGUUUUAUUCAAGGCUUCACGAUGCGAAUGCAAGCGUAAUUUUUGUUCAAUCUUGUGUGAUUUUACUUGCAUCAUUUGAAAUGAUGUAAUACGUUUAUUUUUCCAAGUUAACUUCGAUACGAUUACACCUACUUGGUACGAAAUGCUGCUUCGAGCGAAUAAUUUUUAGCUAAACGAUGCUAUUGUCAUCUCGUAUCGUAAUAGCAGGGGAAUAAUUUAACUGAAUCAAAGAAAACAUACGCUUUAUCACUUACCUUCCCAGUUCGUUGAAUAACGUAUAUGCUGAUGUAGAAAAAUAUAAUAUAUUUCUUUAACGUUAUUGUUUAUUCUAAUUCUUUUUCAAAUAUUAUGUUGCAAUAAUUUUGAAUAAGAAUGUCAAUUUGUGCGAUUAAACGACGUUCAACGAUAUUCUAUACUUCUGGUAUCUACAGUGUAUUUACUUUAACUGGCAUUGAGGAAGACACUUGAAAUUAUUUUAAGCGUCGAACACGUAUGGUUUAUUAUUGAAAUAGACUUACGACGUAGAAAUUCGUUUAUAUUUCAAACGCAUUCGGAAUAAUUGAAUUUUUCCGAAAAUUAUUUCUCCUAAAACCUUCUUCUCCUGUAAAAUGUAUAGCUGUAUUUACCAUUGGAUUCGUUAAAAUAUAUUAUGUUAAAAAUA
Molecule: long non-coding RNA, 4294 nt
Organism: Bombus impatiens (common eastern bumble bee)
Lineage: Eukaryota; Metazoa; Arthropoda; Insecta; Hymenoptera; Apidae
Exons: 2
Source: RefSeq, a predicted model, not a curated record